This 77-nucleotide non-coding RNA is filed under the name Betaproteobacteria bacterium. The record is from RNAcentral. Lineage: Bacteria; Pseudomonadati; Pseudomonadota; Betaproteobacteria.
UCCGCGGCCAGCGCCGAUUUGAUGUCCAGCUUGCGGGCGCUAAACAAAUGCCGCUAAAGAGACGCGCUUGAACGCCC